CUACGGGGUGCUGCAGUGAGGAAUAUUGGUCAAUGGCCGAGGGGCUGAACCAGCCAUCCCGCGUGCAGGAUGACGGCCCUAUGGGUUGUAAACUGCUUUUCUACGCCAAGAAAUCUGAUUACGUGUAAUUAGUUGACGGUAGCGUAGGAAUAAGCAUCGGCUAACUCCGUGCCAGCAGCCGCGGUAAUACGGAGGAUGCAAGCGUUAUCCGGAUUCAUUGGGUUUAAAGGGUGCGCAGGCGGGCUUGUAAGUCAGUGGUGAAAUACUGCCGCUUAACGGUAGAACUGCCAUUGAUACUGCAAGUCUUGAAUAUGGGUGAGGUAGGCGGAAUGUGUUGUGUAGCGGUGAAAUGCAUAGAUAUGACACAGAACGCCGAUUGCGAAGGCAGCUUACUAAGCCAUUAUUGACGCUGAGGCACGAAAGCGUGGGGAGCGAACAGGAUUAGAUACCCGGGUAGUC
RNAcentral lists this ribosomal RNA (459 nucleotides) under uncultured bacterium. RNAcentral's name for it is "partial 16S ribosomal RNA". It matches the Rfam family "Bacterial small subunit ribosomal RNA", at positions 339 to 795 of the family's 1533-position model. The record is from RNAcentral.